This 346-nucleotide unclassified non-coding RNA is filed under the name Hevea brasiliensis (rubber tree). Lineage: Eukaryota; Viridiplantae; Streptophyta; Magnoliopsida; Malpighiales; Euphorbiaceae. The record is from RNAcentral.
UGGCAAUUCCCAUGGCAUAAUUGGUGGAUAUGUUCAUGGUAAUAAGGAAAUGGUUAUGGAUCAAGUGGAACUGGUCCAUUCUCAAGAUGCUCGAGGACCUUACAAAGUUCUUCUGAAGCAGCAUGUGGGAGGGAAGAGUUGAAGGGCAUAAGUGUGAUGAUACCAUGAAAACCAAUGCAUCAUAUCCUCUGAAGGGCAAGCAUACGAGAAAGUCAUCGUGCGAGAAUGGCUGGACGGCAGAUAACAAGAAAGAUGAUGAAUUGGAUGCGAGAAGAAUGGCACUAGUUGAAGAAGCUUCUUCUGAGGCUGUUAACAACCAAGGAGUUGUCCCUAUGAAAGUGAAGUC